This 468-nucleotide ribosomal RNA is filed under the name uncultured bacterium. RNAcentral describes it as "partial 16S ribosomal RNA". It matches the Rfam family "Bacterial small subunit ribosomal RNA", at positions 28 to 507 of the family's 1533-position model. The record is from RNAcentral.
GACGAACGCUGGCGGCGUGCUUAACACAUGCAAGUCGAACGGAAAGGCCCUGCUUUUGUGGGGUGCUCGAGUGGCGAACGGGUGAGUAACACGUGAGUAACCUGCCCUUGACUUUGGGAUAACUUCAGGAAACUGGGGCUAAUACCGGAUAGGAGCUCCUGCUGCAUGGUGGGGGUUGGAAAGUUUCGGCGGUUGGGGAUGGACUCGCGGCUUAUCAGCUUGUUGGUGGGGUAGUGGCUUACCAAGGCUUUGACGGGUAGCCGGCCUGAGAGGGUGACCGGCCACAUUGGGACUGAGAGACGGCCCAGACUCCUACGGGAGGCAGCAGUGGGGAAUAUUGCAGAAUGGGCGGAAGCCUGAUGCGGCAACGCCGCGUGCGGGAUGACGGCCUUCGGGUUGUAAACCGCUUUCGCCUGUGACGAAGCGUGAGUGACGGUAAUGGGUAAAGAAGCACCGGCUAACUACGUG